This is a non-coding RNA of Manis javanica (Malayan pangolin), 423 nucleotides long. The record is from RefSeq and is a predicted model, not a curated record. NCBI's taxonomy places the organism in Eukaryota, Metazoa, Chordata, Mammalia, Pholidota, Manidae.
UACUAUUUCUCUAUUUCAGGCUCUUACUACUUCUUCAUCGGACAAUUAUCUGAUUUACUUACCUCGUUAACUGCCUCUGGCCCAGUUCUGAUCAUGCCACUCCCUUAAUAAGGAGGAGAAAUGCAAAAGUAUUCAGGAGAAACAGAAGAUAGAAAGGUGAUGCAAACAAUGUCAAGAGAAAAUAUAAUGACUUCCCUUUUGGAUCCCAAUGCUCACACAUGGCUGGAUGGGAUUUGGACAUUUCUGGUGACAUGAGUUUACUGCUUAUUUGGAAAUUCUCGCUGGUGUAAUUUUAACUGAUGUGGAGAGAUUUCUGGACUAGCAAUUCUAAACAGGCUUGAUUAAACAAAAGAAUGGACUUGAUUAAGUGUGAUAAUGUAUGUAACAAUCCAACAGAGACCCAGUAAACAAAUAUUCCUAAUU